This 465-nucleotide ribosomal RNA is filed under the name Vreelandella stevensii. RNAcentral describes it as "partial 16S ribosomal RNA". It matches the Rfam family "Bacterial small subunit ribosomal RNA", at positions 338 to 795 of the family's 1533-position model. The record is from RNAcentral. Lineage: Bacteria; Pseudomonadati; Pseudomonadota; Gammaproteobacteria; Oceanospirillales; Halomonadaceae.
CCUACGGGGGGCAGCAGUGGGGAAUAUUGGACAAUGGGGGGAACCCUGAUCCAGCCAUGCCGCGUGUGUGAAGAAGGCCCUCGGGUUGUAAAGCACUUUCAGUGAGGAAGAACGCCUGGUGGUUAAUACCCAUCAGGAAAGACAUCACUCACAGAAGAAGCACCGGCUAACUCCGUGCCAGCAGCCGCGGUAAUACGGAGGGUGCGAGCGUUAAUCGGAAUUACUGGGCGUAAAGCGCGCGUAGGUGGCUUGAUAAGCCGGGUGUGAAAGCCCCGGGCUCAACCUGGGAACGGCAUCCGGAACUGUCAAGCUAGAGUGCAGGAGAGGAAGGUAGAAUUCCCGGUGUAGCGGUGAAAUGCGUAGAGAUCGGGAGGAAUACCAGUGGCGAAGGCGGCCUUCUGGACUGACACUGACACUGAGGGGCGAAAGCGUGGGUAGCAAACAGGAUUAGAUACCCUAGUAGUC